This 2995-nucleotide long non-coding RNA is filed under the name Homo sapiens (human). RNAcentral describes it as "mir-100-let-7a-2-mir-125b-1 cluster host gene, transcript variant 21 (MIR100HG)". Lineage: Eukaryota; Metazoa; Chordata; Mammalia; Primates; Hominidae. The record is from RNAcentral.
CUUUUUGCAAGCAGCUGCACUGUGAGUUCGCCUUCCAUUAGUAAAGGGACAAUGAAGGGAAGGCGAACCCCGCGUCCAAAACAUGGCCAAUGAAAGGACACUGGAAUGGAAGCCAGGAAUCCUGCUGUGGUGGAGAGGCAUAGACUCAUGAGUCCACCACAAUCGGAUACUUGCUUCUUUUUAACAGCCCUAUCAGCCGAGAGAAAUAAUGACUCCUGAAUCAUUUGACAGUAAAAAAGUUAAAAUGAUGUCUCAAUGGCGCUGCAUCAUGCCAGACGCGCGUGGAUGAUUUGAAGAUAUUAGCCUAACAAGAUGGAAGCAGGUUUAAAAUUUUACAUAAGAAGUUACCUUUUUCAGUUGUGUUGAUGUUCCUUUCAGCUGGUCCUAUAGUACCCCUCCUCAGGAAUGUCUCCCCAGUGCAAGGACAAAGACUGAAGAGACUGCUAUAUUGAUGGACUCUCAAGCCAACUAUGAAGUUGAAACAAAGAAAGUGAUCACCUGAAGACACCUCCUCUGCUAAGAAACACCCCCAAAUUGUGCAGCUUCUGCCACUAGAACUCUCAGAACAAGAGACAAUCUUUUCAAGAAACAGAAAAACUCAAUAAUGACAUCUAGAUUUUCAUGAGCCAAGAACUUUCCCUUCCUCAUGUGUAUUCCUCUGUUUGUACUUAAAUUCAUGUGACAUUCAUUUUUUUCCUAGUAUGGAUAUGCUUAUUAAUGCACUUGUUUCAAAAUCCCAAAUUGCACAAAUGUGUUAAUAUUUUAAGAAACAAAAUGAAUCCUACAAGGAGAAUGAUUUUUAGCCACACAUAGGGUUGGAUCUUGAGAGUGACCUACAGAAUAAAAGUACUUUUAAAAUAAAGUAGUCAGAGGCUAUUCAAAGGGUAAAAUAAUCAUAGUACCACAUUGGUCCACUUGACACUAACCAAUCGAUCAUUUUUUUUUAAUCAAGAAAGCUAGAUUCUAUCAGAUAAAAUCACUGCUUCUAAAGAGUUUAAAUCUAGUUAGAAAAAGUUAUAGAAAUGUUUGCAAAGAUAAGUAACAGAUAGAGUCAGUAGAGGAUAAGAUCAAAAACAAAACCAAGCAAAAGAUGAGUUCAGGGGAGUUUGCCAUCAAGUUGGCAAAACUGACUUACUUAGGGAAGAAAGUUAUAAAACAGGAAAAUAUGAGAUGAACCUUGAGUGAUGUGGAAGAUUUAGAUAAAUGGAAAGGAAGGAGAAAAUGGAGUUCUUUAGGUGGUUGUAAUUGGAGGAGGAAAUGAAUACACACAUCUUGUUGACUUAAACCCAGACAUUCAGCAGCUCUCUAUACAUAUCUGGAAAAGACUGCACAGUCACCUCCUGUCUCUCACCCCAGGUAUUACUUAGAAUUAUUAUCAUAUUUCCCUUCCUUUAAAGUAAGUAAGGGUGAUUGGUGACAAUAUGGAGAACUAUGAUUUUUCCAUUAACCUAAUAAUAAUUGGUAUUUAUUGAGUUCUGUUAAGCAUUUUACAUAUUAACUCACUUAAGCCUUUCAACAGCCUUGCAAAAUAGGUAUUAUUAUCCCCAUUUUACAGGCAAGAAAACUGAGGUUUAAGUAACUUGCCGAAGUGCCAUAUACAGGGCUCACAUUCAGUAUUGCAGUUGCAAAGCUCAUGAUCUAUAGUGCCAAGUUGCAAUAUUGUAGUCAAUGUCACAAUUAUUACCCCUUUUUAUAUUCCUUGAUAUUUUUCCAUGGCAAACAAUUAGCUAUUUCAUUUAAUAAUCACCUAAAACUUUUCAGUCUUCUGAUUAAAAUUACGCUGGAGUGAUAGAAUGUAUUUUCAUGAUAGAAAUUGGGAAAAAAAAUGGGGAAUGAAGUUUAUCAGCAUUUCAGACUUGUUUUUUUUUUUUUUUUUUGCAAGACUUUGAUGAGAUUGUUCACUUUUGUCUAUGUAAAAUCCCAAAUCCUUGAGAAUAAAAAAGGGGGAGGUUUAAGUCACUUGUUGCAAUGCCCUUUUUAAUAGAGGCAAUAAAUCUAAAGGCCAUAAAUUUAGAGUGACUUACAGAAGAUCGAACUUUGGAGUGUGGCAGAGUAAGGGAUGGAAACCGGGCCCUCCAGUUCACUAUCAGUAGCUUUUGCACUGGUCUGCCCUUCCUAAAUUAAGUAUGCACUUCAAUUUGAUGAGUGGAAACAGUCUAUCUGGGCAGUAACCAGGGAGCUUUGUGCCUAGUAGAUUGCUUCUGUUCUGCACUUCUUUGGUUUCCCACCUCAAUGUAAAAAAUAGCUAGCAAUGAAGUCCAGAAGUUGUCAAUGGUUCAUCCCCAGAAGAAUGCAUAAUGUCCAAAGUUGUAUGUGUAUGAUGUCUUCAAUGGUAUUAAGUUAUUUCAAAUUCUUAGUUCACCUACAUAAAUCAUUUCUAACAAGCAUCUUCUUAACCAACUUUAUGCACAGUGUAUGUUUGUAAGUGCUUCUGCACGAAUGUUUAUACAUGACUGUUUCCAUAGUACUUAUGUUUUUAAAAAUAUUCAGUCAUUUCCUACUAUAAUCCUCAUGUAUCCAUGUAACUGACUCAAAAAUACUUCAGCCACAGAAAGCUAAAACUGAGCAAAUCUCAUUCUUCUUUUCCAUCCCCUUUGCAUGUGGCUGGCAUUUAGUAAUGAUUAAUAAUAUGGCCAGCUGAAUAACAGAGGUUUGAGACACAAUUCUUUCUCAAAGGAGUCAGCUAAGCUGGGUCUACUUAUGGACAAACAUCUAAAUGUGUGGAAGUAUCUGAUAUUUGACAAUGGUAAAUUUCCACUUAGCUAGCUAGCAUUGUCAGACUUCAAUCUCCUCAUGGCUCUGGCCGUCCUGUUUUAAGCAUGAUAAUUGUUGGCCACAUCUCACAUAGUUCUCAUUGAGUGAGUUCAUAAAUAAACAGGGUUUUUUUUUUUUUUUAAAGAGCAGCCAAGCACAAAGUGUGACUUUGUUGACAUUUUAUGUGACUUUGUCAUAUGUUCCUAACCCCCAAUAAAAGCAAUGUUGCAUCAACUGUGAA